GGCGUGAAGACCUUACCCGACUUAGCUGAGAGGUGGUGCAUGGCCGUCGCCAGUUCGUACUGUGAAGCAUCCUGUUAAGUCAGGCAACGAGCGAGACCCACGUCCACAGUUGCCAGCAUACCCUCCGGGGUGAUGGGUACACUGUGGAGACCGCCGCUGCUAAAGCGGAGGAAGGAGUGGGCAACGGUAGGUCAGUAUGCCCCGAAUCUCCCGGGCUACACGCGGGCUACAAUGGUUGGUACAAUGGGCAUCUACCCCGAAAGGGGAAGGAAAUCUCUUAAAGCCAAUCGUAGUUCGGAUUGAGGGCUGCAACUCGCCCUCAUGAAGCUGGAAUCCGUAGUAAUCGCGUUUCAACAGAACGCGGUGAAUACGUCCCUGCUCCUU
RNAcentral lists this ribosomal RNA (384 nucleotides) under uncultured Methanosaeta sp. RNAcentral's name for it is "bacterial SSU rRNA". It matches the Rfam family "Archaeal small subunit ribosomal RNA", at positions 957 to 1338 of the family's 1478-position model. The record is from RNAcentral. Lineage: Archaea; Methanobacteriati; Methanobacteriota; Methanomicrobia; Methanotrichales; Methanotrichaceae.